Molecule: ribosomal RNA, 1346 nt
Filed under: uncultured bacterium
Lineage: Bacteria
Description: partial 16S ribosomal RNA
Rfam family: Bacterial small subunit ribosomal RNA
Source: RNAcentral
GACGAACGCUGGCGGCAUGCUUAACACAUGCAAGUCGAACGGAAAGGCCCUGCUUUUGUGGGGUGCUCGAGUGGCGAACGGGUGAGUAACACGUGAGUAACCUGCCCUUGACUUUGGGAUAACUUCAGGAAACUGGGGCUAAUACCGGAUAGGAGCUCCUGCUGCAUGGUGGGGGUUGGAAAGUUUCGGCGGUUGGGGAUGGACUCGCGGCUUAUCAGCUUGUUGGUGGGGUAGUGGCUUACCAAGGCUUUGACGGGUAGCCGGCCUGAGAGGGUGACCGGCCACAUUGGGACUGAGAUACGGCCCAGACUCCUACGGGAGGCAGCAGUGGGGAAUAUUGCACAAUGGGCGGAAGCCUGAUGCAGCAACGCCGCGUGCGGGAUGACGGCCUUCGGGUUGUAAACCGCUUUCGCCUGUGACGAAGCGUGAGUGACGGUAAUGGGUAAAGAAGCACCGGCUAACUACGUGCCAGCAGCCGCGGUGAUACGUAGGGUGCGAGCGUUGUCCGGAUUUAUUGGGCGUAAAGGGCUCGUAGGUGGUUGAUCGCGUCGGAAGUGUAAUCUUGGGGCUUAACCCUGAGCGUGCUUUCGAUACGGGUUGACUUGAGGAAGGUAGGGGAGAAUGGAGUUCCUGGUGGAGCGGUGGAAUGCGCAGAUAUCAGGAGGAACACCAGUGGCGAAGGCGGUUCUCUGGGCCUUUCCUGACGCUGAGGAGCGAAAGCGUGGGGAGCGAACAGGCUUAGAUACCCUGGUAGUCCACGCUGUAAACGGUGGGUACUAGGUGUGGGGUCCAUUCCACGGGUUCCGUGCCGUAGCUAACGCUUUAAGUACCCCGCCUGGGGAGUACGGCCGCAAGGCUAAAACUCAAAGGAAUUGACGGGGCCCCGCACAAGCGGCGGAGCAUGCGGAUUAAUUCGAUGCAACGCGUAGAACCUUACCUGGGUUUGACAUGGAUCGGGAGUGCUCAGAGAUGGGUGUGCCUCUUUUGGGGUCGGUUCACAGGUGGUGCAUGGCUGUCGUCAGCUCGUGUCGUGAGAUGUUGGGUUAAGUCCCGCAACGAGCGCAACCCUUGUUCACUGUUGCCAGCACGUUAUGGUGGGGACUCAGUGGAGACCGCCGGGGUCAACUCGGAGGAAGGUGGGGAUGACGUCAAGUCAUCAUGCCCCUUAUGUCCAGGGCUUCACGCAUGCUACAAUGGCUGGUACAGAGAGUGGCGAGCCUGUGAGGGUGAGCGAAUCUCGGAAAGCCGGUCUCAGUUCGGAUUGGGGUCUGCAACUCGACCUCAUGAAGUCGGAGUCGCUAGUAAUCGCAGAUCAGCAACGCUGCGGUGAAUACGUUCCCGGGGCU